Molecule: small nuclear RNA, 21 nt
Filed under: Arabidopsis thaliana (thale cress)
Lineage: Eukaryota; Viridiplantae; Streptophyta; Magnoliopsida; Brassicales; Brassicaceae
Description: snRNA_18074
Source: RNAcentral
AUCACUUUCCAUAGUUCCAAC